Molecule: non-coding RNA, 930 nt
Organism: Conger conger (European conger)
Lineage: Eukaryota; Metazoa; Chordata; Actinopteri; Anguilliformes; Congridae
Source: the annotation of a RefSeq genome assembly
AUGAUGAUGUCAGUCUUUCUACUGCUGGUCACACUGGGAGUCGUUGUACAGGAAUCCAUGGCAGAUAUAGUUAUGACUCAGAGUCCAGCUGCUCAGGCUGUUCAGCUGGGAGACACUGUCUCUAUCAGCUGUACAGCCAGUCAGAGUGUGGGCAGCGCCCUCGCCUGGUACCUGCAAAACAUGGUCAGGCUCCUAAACUUCUGAUUUAUUAUUCCUCAAAUCGCCAGUCUGGGAUUCCUGAUCGAUUCUGUGGGACUGGAUCUAGGACUCAUGCUACCCACUGCGCCAUCCGUGCCGCCCAGACUGAAGAUGCAGGAGAUUAUUACUGUCAGCAGGGCUACAGCUCGCCUUGGACUAGUCCAGGCGGGACAGAACCAUCACUUGGAUCAGGAGCUGGGUCGAGUGACACAGUCCUGCCCCCCUCCAAUGUGGAGCUGGAGAAGGGAAAGGCCACACUGGUGUGUCUGGCCAACCAGAGCUUCCCCUCACACUGGACUCUGCGCUGGAAAGUGGACGGUGCCAGCAGGAGCUCGGGCGUGGCCGGGAGCGUGGGGGUCCUGGGGAAGGACGGUCUGUACAGCUGGAGCAGCUCCCUGACUCUCAGUGAGGAAGACUGGAUGAAGGCAGGGUCACUGACCUGUGAGGCCACAAAGGGCUCCCUGUCUGCCCCCCCUCAGACACUGAGGAGAGCCCACUGUUCUUAGUAGGCCGGGUGGAGGCCCAGCUCACACACUGUGAUCACACUGUUUUUACCCUGUUCUGCUCCUUACUGCUGUCACGCUGAGCUGAGCCUGUGUGUGAAUCCUUCCUCCAGCCUGAGCUUCCAGUGCUAAUAUCUGACAUGUGCUCUGCUUGUGUUCUUCAGCAGUAUGCAAGCAUGCAUUCUUAUUUGUGUUUCUGUGAUUUUGGCAACAGCUGUUAAAUCAACAU